CUGAGUCAGAGGACUGGUCUUGGUCUGUGUUCCCAACUCCGAUGAACUGGCCCUUGCUGCCUGCCCAGGCUCUAGCAUCAACAAUGAAAUGUCAAAACACACUUAGCACCGCUUCAACUUAUGGAUCCUUCUGUUGUCUCUAGAAGUCAGGCUGUUGUAAAGGGUCUCUAGGCAUUCAAAUGGCCCAGAAGAGACACACAGAAUUGUUUUUGGGAGCAGCCUGAUCAAAAUAAAGUCUUACAUCUCAGAAAUGGAGGAACCUACCACCUGCUGUGCUGGGCAGGUGGCACCUUAAGCUCUACUGAUGCUUUUACACCAAACCUGCAGAAGCCAUUUCAGCAAAACAGCUAAUACAGUAAGUAAAAAAGCAGCACAGAUUUCAUGGGGCAGGAGAGGCACUAUUAAAUUAAUUCUACCUCUGC
This is a long non-coding RNA of Myotis lucifugus (little brown bat), 422 nucleotides long. RefSeq lists it as uncharacterized. The transcript has 2 exons. The record is from RefSeq and is a predicted model, not a curated record. Lineage: Eukaryota; Metazoa; Chordata; Mammalia; Chiroptera; Vespertilionidae.